CUCCUUUGACGUUAGCGGCGGACGGGUCGAGUAACACGUGGGUAACCUACCUAUAAGACUGGGAUAACUUCGGGAAACCGGAGCUAAUACCGGAUAAUAUUUCGAACCGCAUGGUUCGAUAGUGAAAGAUGGCUCUGCUAUCACUUAUAGAUGGACCUGCGCCGUAUUAGCUAGUUGGUAAGGUAACGGCUUACCAAGGCAACGAUACGUAGCCGACCUGAGAGGGUGAUCGGCCACACUGGAACUGAGACACGGUCCAGACUCCUACGGGAGGCAGCAGUAGGGAAUCUUCCGCAAUGGGCGAAAGCCUGACGGAGCAACGCCGCGUGAGUGAUGAAGGUCUUCGGAUCGUAAAACUCUGUUAUUAGGGAAGAACAAACGUGUAAGUAACUGUGCACGUCUUGACGGUACCUAAUCAGAAAGCCACGGCUAACUACGUGCCAGCAGCCGCGGUAAUACGUAGGUGGCAAGCGUUAUCCGGAAUUAUUGGGCGUAAAGCGCGCGUAGGCGGUUUUUUAAGUCUGAUGUGAAAGCCCACGGCUCAACCGUGGAGGGUCAUUGGAAACUGGAAAACUUGAGUGCAGAAGAGGAAAGUGGAAUUCCAUGUGUAGCGGUGAAAUGCGCAGAGAUAUGGAGGAACACCAGUGGCGAAGGCGACUUUCUGGUCUGUAACUGACGCUGAUGUGCGAAAGCGUGGGGAUCAAACAGGAUUAGAUACCCUGGUAGUCCACGCCGUAAACGAUGAGUGCUAAGUGUUAGGGGGUUUCCGCCCCUUAGUGCUGCAGCUAACGCAUUAAGCACUCCGCCUGGGGAGUACGACCGCAAGGUUGAAACUCAAGGAAUUGACGGGGACCCGCACAAGCGGUGGAGCAUGUGGUUUAAUUCGAAGCAACGCGAAGA
This 900-nucleotide ribosomal RNA is filed under the name Staphylococcus hominis subsp. hominis. RNAcentral's name for it is "bacterial SSU rRNA". It matches the Rfam family "Bacterial small subunit ribosomal RNA", at positions 81 to 967 of the family's 1533-position model. The record is from RNAcentral. Lineage: Bacteria; Bacillati; Bacillota; Bacilli; Caryophanales; Staphylococcaceae.